GACGAACGCUGGCGGCGUGCUUAACACAUGCAAGUCGAACGGUAAGGCCCUUCGGGGUACACGAGUGGCGAACGGGUGAGUAACACGUGGGUGAUCUGCCCUGCACUUCGGGAUAAGCCUGGGAAACUGGGUCUAAUACCGGAUAGGACCACUGCCUGCAUGGGUGGUGGUGGAAAGCUUUUGCGGUGUGGGAUGGGCCCGCGGCCUAUCAGCUUGUUGGUGGGGUGAUGGCCUACCAAGGCGACGACGGGUAGCCGGCCUGAGAGGGUGACCGGCCACACUGGGAAUGAGAUACGGCCCAGACUCCUACGGAGGCAGCAGUGGGGAAUAUUGCACAAUGGGCGCAAGCCUGAUGCAGCGACGCCGCGUGAGGGAUGACGGCCUUCGGGUUGUAAACCUCUUUCAGCACCGACGAAGCGCAAGUGACGGUAGGUGCAGAAGAAGGACCGGCCAACUACGUGCCAGCAGCCGCAGUAA
Molecule: ribosomal RNA, 477 nt
Filed under: uncultured bacterium
Lineage: Bacteria
Description: partial 16S ribosomal RNA
Rfam family: Bacterial small subunit ribosomal RNA
Source: RNAcentral